UGGCUCAGUGGUAGAGCGCUUGCCUUGCAUGCAUGAGGUCCUGGGUUCAAUUCCUCAG
Dipodomys ordii (Ord's kangaroo rat) is the source of this 58-nucleotide non-coding RNA. NCBI's taxonomy places the organism in Eukaryota, Metazoa, Chordata, Mammalia, Rodentia, Heteromyidae. The record is from Rfam.